AUGGCUUCAUCUUCAAUAAAAGCAGGUCAAGGCACAAUGGAGGAGAGUGUCUAUAGCCAGCCAUCAACUAGAUGGUGAACUCCUGGAAACAAGGCUUUCUCUGGGGCUGAAGGCAUUUAAGGAGCCCUCAAGCUACUCUUCCCUUGAAUGGAUUCAAGAGCCAUCAGCAUUGCUGCCCAGUGCUCUCACCACGACCCUCACCUUCAUCAGUAGUUCCCGGCUGGUCAAAUGGUUAUUAUGGUCUGAGAAAAUAUCUGAAAGUUCUUCCAACAUCAGCAUUCAGUCCCUAGAAAGAGAGAUUAAGAAAAUAUUAACAAUGAAGAAUUAGUAAAAACCUGACACCUUCGGCCUAGCUGUCUUCAGUACCCAUGGCUAUGGAGGGAUUGUGCUGAUCCCAGGACUGGUGGGCAAUAUGAGCACAGAUGAAGCCAAUGACUUUUCUAUGCAGGAUGGCUUUUAUGUUUUUAAGAUGGACAUGGGUCCUUGUGAGAAGAGAGGGAUAUUUUCUAACCAUGCAUGUUAUAAUCAUUAAAAAGGAUUACUCAGAGCAUCAAGUCAUUCAACUGGGACAUGUUCUCUUCAGUACUUUUUUUUGUUUUUUUAAUCUAUCUUAGCAACACACACAGAGCCCAGUGGAACCUGAGAGGUCAUCUUGGCCAGGCCCUUAAUUUUAGAGAUGAAGAUGCCAGGGCCAGGGAUUUGCUCAAGUUUCCACUAGGAACUGCUAAGAGUUGCAGGUAUAGAACCCCAAUUUUCUGGAUCAUGGGCUAGUGUUCUUAUGCUCAGAGCAAAAUGGUGGAGCCAUGACAGGCUCUGCAGCCAGAUCAGGUGGGUUCGAAUCCCAACUCUGUCAUUCAUGUCCUGAGUGAUCCUGGGCAAGUUGCUUCAAUUUUCUUAUCUGUACAAUGUAAAUACUAGCACCCCUCAUGGGAUUGCUGUGAAAGUAAGUGGGAUCACAUACAUAAGGCACCUGCUCUGCCCUUGCCCCAUCCAGUACUCUUCUCUAUGUACCCCUCCGGGGCUACUGAGUGCAUGAUUCUCAAGGCAAAGAACUAAUAGGGGCAGUAUCACUGGAUGAGUAUAUGCAACAUUUCCUUUACCAUGAA
Molecule: long non-coding RNA, 1106 nt
Organism: Cynocephalus volans (Philippine flying lemur)
Lineage: Eukaryota; Metazoa; Chordata; Mammalia; Dermoptera; Cynocephalidae
Exons: 3
Source: RefSeq, a predicted model, not a curated record